This 430-nucleotide ribosomal RNA is filed under the name uncultured Bifidobacterium sp. RNAcentral describes it as "bacterial SSU rRNA". It matches the Rfam family "Bacterial small subunit ribosomal RNA", at positions 195 to 640 of the family's 1533-position model. Lineage: Bacteria; Bacillati; Actinomycetota; Actinomycetes; Bifidobacteriales; Bifidobacteriaceae. The record is from RNAcentral.
CUUCUGGGAAAGCUUUCGCGGUAUGGGAUGGGGUCGCGUCCUAUCAGCUUGACGGCGGGGUAACGGCCCACCGUGGCUUCGAUGGGUAGCCGGCCUGAGAGGGCGACCGGCCACAUUGGGACUGAGAUACGGCCCAGACUCCUACGGGAGGCAGCAGUGGGGAAUAUUGCACAAUGGGCGCAAGCCUGAUGCAGCGACGCCGCGUGAGGGAUGGAGGCCUUCGGGUUGUAAACCUCUUUUAUCGGGGAGCAAGCGAGAGUGAGUUUACCCGUUGAAUAAGCACCGGCUAACUACGUGCCAGCAGCCGCGGUAAUACGUAGGGUGCAAGCGUUACCCGGAAUUAUUGGGCGUAAAGGGCUCGUAGGCGGUUCGUCGCGUCCGGUGUGAAAGUCCAUCGCUUAACGGUGGAUCCGCGCCGGGUACGGGCGGG